Molecule: transfer RNA, 73 nt
Filed under: Pangasianodon hypophthalmus (striped catfish)
Lineage: Eukaryota; Metazoa; Chordata; Actinopteri; Siluriformes; Pangasiidae
Description: tRNA-Glu
Source: RNAcentral
UCCCUGGAGGACUAGUGGUUAGGCCACGGUGCUCUCACUGCUGUGGCCUGGGUUUGAUUCCCAAGGAAUGGAG